ACCCCUUGUCAUGAAGAGGAGCAUCUGGACAUACUGUUUUUGGCUGGUCACGCUGGGAAAUUGUUGAUUGUGAACAAGCCCAUGCCACUGUCAGUUUGGGGAGAGGAAGGGGCACCACCUAUCCAUCACCUGACUGCAAAAAAUAUUUGUAUUCUUAAAGUACUGUAAGCCUCACUGUUGUUUCUUUUAUCUGUGGCAAGGUAUGUUUUCUUUCUCCUGUAACUUCUUUUUAACAGCAGAAUUAAUUGUGAUUUAUUCUGUGUCAGUCUAUCUAGAUUCUGUGGUUUCCUUUCUUACAGGUUCCACAACCGCUCCUCCAUGUGAAUCAGAUAUUGCAUGCAAACUUGGAUGGCAUGUAAAUCAGAUAUUAACAGGUGGGUAUGCCGUGUGUGAAACAGAUGUUCAGUAGACUCUGCAUAGCUGCAACUGUCCUGAUAAAUGUUCAUUGGGCUUCUCUCUAGGUGCGAGGCCAAUUGGCAUGGAGCAGGCCACAUGCAUACUGUCUGACUCUUUAAACUUUGGAAAAGAGUAACAACACACAUACUACCUACUGGGAAUGAUCACUCUCAUGUUAACUUCCAGGCACUUGGUGGUAGAGUGCUAGCUGAGCAGGCCAGAGACGGAAUCACAGGUGUGCAAAAUUAAAGGGAUUGGAAAGGACCUCUGGAGAUCAUCUUGUCCAACCCCCUGCUAAAGAACGUUCCCUACAGUAAGUUACACAGGAAAGCAUCCAGGCAGGUUUUGAGUGUCUCCAGAGAAGGAGACUCCACAACCUUUCUGGGCAGCCUGUUCCAGUGCUCUGUCACCCUCAAAGUAAGAAGUUCUUUCUCAUGUUCAGAUUGAAGUUCUUGUGUUCCAAUUUGUGCCCCUGCCCCUUGUUCUGGCACUGGGCACCACCAGAAAGAGCCUGGCCACAUCCACUUGACACCCACCCUUUUGAUAUUUAUAAGUAUCGAUAGGACUCCCUCUCAGUCUCUGCCAGGCUGAGCAGUCCCACAUAUCUCAGCUUUCCUCAUGAGAGAGAUGCUCCAGUUCCCUCAUUGUCUUUGAGGUCCUCCACUAGACUCCCUCUAUAAGUUGCCUUUCUUGGACUGGGGAGCCCAGAAUUGGAGACAAUACUCCAGAUGUGGCCUGACCAGGGCAGAGCAGAGGGGGUGAAACUCCCUUGACCUCCUGGGCAUGCUUUCAUUAAUGCACUCCAGUCUACUCUUCUUUAUGUAAUGCAGUCUCACCUUAAAAUGUAGCCUUAACAAACUUUUUUAGAAAUUUGUUCUUAUAACCAAUAUCUUUGAAAUGCAAAAUGAAAUGGAAGAGGAGAAGGCCAUUAAAGAGGAAACCUCAUAAUCUUGUAAUCCUUGGCAUUUUAAAAAGGAAAAACGGAAUAUAGCGGAAUUUGAGUUCUGGUGUUUUCAUUAUUAUUAUUAUUUCAGGAGGUCUUUAACGUGAAAUGUAGCAUGAACAAGCAUGGUAUCCAUGAGCUGUGUGACGUGAGUGAGAUAUCUUAUGUAACUACAGUUUCAGAAGUUUGUCAGUGUCUGGAGGAAGGAUUUUUCAUGGAAUGCAGAUGAUAAUUAGUGAUCUGCGGUCUAAGUGUGUGCUGAAGUUACAAUUCAAAAGGCUUAUUAGGAGAGUGAGUAUACUGUCAGAUACAGUGUGAUAGCAUGAGGGUCUCUGAACAUGCUAAUACUCGGAGUAUUCAGAGGAUCCCUUCUUUGGAUGGGAGAAGCAUACUUUCAGUCAUUCAUGCAGAGACUUGACCCCAGCCAGUAGUAGUACUUUUGCUGGAAACUAUGACAAAAGGCAAAAAGGAGUCUCAGCCACACAGAGCUCAAAUAUCAGUCUCUUUGCUGCUUUAUCAGGCUGUUGUGGAUGAGCAGUACAGUGUUGUUCCUUUGAAAGAUUUGCUGUUGAUGAUGCUUUAACAGGGACAGCAAAAGAGCUGUCUCAAUCCUAAACAGUCUCGCAUGGCUUAUUGUGUCUUUAUAGAUAUGCAAAAAGCAAGGAUGCAAGCAGAUACAUUUUAAGGGUAGAAAGAUGCAGAAUUCUUUAAAACUACAUGGUAGCAUAGCAAAGGAUUCUGAGAAAAUGCAACUGUUUUGUGGAUCACUUCCUACUCAAGAUAUUUGAAGAUCUGAUGAAUUAUCAAAGGAAAUGAAAAACAGAAAAGCACAAGACCCUCAUCCCUGUUAAAUCUUACUACUCUUCCUCCAGGUGGAUUUUCAGCUGCUCUGCAGAACUAGCUGAAAUAUUGCUGAUUUCAUGAGUGACACAAUGCUGUUUUCACAUACAUUGGCAAUGCUGACAAAUCACCUUGACUCCAUCACUGAAUGCUGCAAGCAUUGCAUUGGGGUGGUACUGUGGUGUAUCUCCAUCCUCAAGUUCAGAGCAGCCAUUGUGGGUCUGUUUAGCUCAAAUUGAAUGUUUCUUGCAAUAACAAGAAGGUUUGAUUUGGAUUUUAAAGAACACUGUUAAAAAUGUAAAAAUAAAGAGACCAUAAAUUUAGGUCUCA
Molecule: long non-coding RNA, 2509 nt
Organism: Numida meleagris (helmeted guineafowl)
Lineage: Eukaryota; Metazoa; Chordata; Aves; Galliformes; Numididae
Source: Ensembl